RNAcentral lists this long non-coding RNA (255 nucleotides) under Elaeis guineensis (African oil palm). Its description in RNAcentral is "long non-coding RNA (EGUI_LNC057760)". The record is from RNAcentral. Lineage: Eukaryota; Viridiplantae; Streptophyta; Magnoliopsida; Arecales; Arecaceae.
AUCCUUUAUCAUUCAUCAUUUGCAAAAAUUUUAAAGUACUCUAUCUUUCAUCAUCCAUUCACCUGCAUGGAUCUUAAAGGACAAAUUCAUCCACUAAUAAAGACCUCAAAGUACUACUUUCUUUUUUUUUAAUUUAUUUUAAAAUUUUGGAUCUAAUUGAUAUUUUUAAACUUAAAUGAUUUAAAUUUAGAAGGGUGUCUCUAUAAAUUUUUUUUAAAAAAAAUUAAAUUUUAUUUUCUUGAGAUUAGUUUGGCC